Molecule: ribosomal RNA, 2931 nt
Filed under: Escherichia coli
Lineage: Bacteria; Pseudomonadati; Pseudomonadota; Gammaproteobacteria; Enterobacterales; Enterobacteriaceae
Description: 23S ribosomal RNA
Rfam family: Bacterial large subunit ribosomal RNA
Source: RNAcentral
GGGUUGUGAGGUUAAGCGACUAAGCGUACACGGUGGAUGCCCUGGCAGUCAGAGGCGAUGAAGGACGUGCUAAUCUGCGAUAAGCGUCGGUAAGGUGAUAUGAACCGUUAUAACCGGCGAUUUCCGAAUGGGGAAACCCAGUGUGAUUCGUCACACUAUCAUUAACUGAAUCCAUAGGUUAAUGAGGCGAACCGGGGGAACUGAAACAUCUAAGUACCCCGAGGAAAAGAAAUCAACCGAGAUUCCCCAAGUAGCGGCGAGCGAACGGGGAGCAGCCCAGAGCCUGAAUCAGUGUGUGUGUUAGUGGAAGCGUCUGGAAAGGCGCGCGAUACAGGGUGACAGCCCCGUACACAAAAAUGCACAUACUGUGAGCUCGAUGAGUAGGGCGGGACACGUGGUAUCCUGUCUGAAUAUGGGGGGACCAUCCUCCAAGGCUAAAUACUCCUGACUGACCGAUAGUGAACCAGUACCGUGAGGGAAAGGCGAAAAGAACCCCGGCGAGGGGAGUGAAAAAGAACCUGAAACCGUGUACGUACAAGCAGUGGGAGCACGCUUAGGCGUGUGACUGCGUACCUUUUGUAUAAUGGGUCAGCGACUUAUAUUCUGUAGCAAGGUUAACCGAAUAGGGGAGCCGAAGGGAAACCGAGUCUUAACUGGGCGUUAAGUUGCAGGGUAUAGACCCGAAACCCGGUGAUCUAGCCAUGGGCAGGUUGAAGGUUGGGUAACACUAACUGGAGGACCGAACCGACUAAUGUUGAAAAAUUAGCGGAUGACUUGUGGCUGGGGGUGAAAGGCCAAUCAAACCGGGAGAUAGCUGGUUCUCCCCGAAAGCUAUUUAGGUAGCGCCUCGUGAAUUCAUCUCCGGGGGUAGAGCACUGUUUCGGCAAGGGGGUCAUCCCGACUUACCAACCCGAUGCAAACUGCGAAUACCGGAGAAUGUUAUCACGGGAGACACACGGCGGGUGCUAACGUCCGUCGUGAAGAGGGAAACAACCCAGACCGCCAGCUAAGGUCCCAAAGUCAUGGUUAAGUGGGAAACGAUGUGGGAAGGCCCAGACAGCCAGGAUGUUGGCUUAGAAGCAGCCAUCAUUUAAAGAAAGCGUAAUAGCUCACUGGUCGAGUCGGCCUGCGCGGAAGAUGUAACGGGGCUAAACCAUGCACCGAAGCUGCGGCAGCGACGCUUAUGCGUUGUUGGGUAGGGGAGCGUUCUGUAAGCCUGUGAAGGUGUGCUGUGAGGCAUGCUGGAGGUAUCAGAAGUGCGAAUGCUGACAUAAGUAACGAUAAAGCGGGUGAAAAGCCCGCUCGCCGGAAGACCAAGGGUUCCUGUCCAACGUUAAUCGGGGCAGGGUGAGUCGACCCCUAAGGCGAGGCCGAAAGGCGUAGUCGAUGGGAAACAGGUUAAUAUUCCUGUACUUGGUGUUACUGCGAAGGGGGGACGGAGAAGGCUAUGUUGGCCGGGCGACGGUUGUCCCGGUUUAAGCGUGUAGGCUGGUUUUCCAGGCAAAUCCGGAAAAUCAAGGCUGAGGCGUGAUGACGAGGCACUACGGUGCUGAAGCAACAAAUGCCCUGCUUCCAGGAAAAGCCUCUAAGCAUCAGGUAACAUCAAAUCGUACCCCAAACCGACACAGGUGGUCAGGUAGAGAAUACCAAGGCGCUUGAGAGAACUCGGGUGAAGGAACUAGGCAAAAUGGUGCCGUAACUUCGGGAGAAGGCACGCUGAUAUGUAGGUGAAGUCCCUCGCGGAUGGAGCUGAAAUCAGUCGAAGAUACCAGCUGGCUGCAACUGUUUAUUAAAAACACAGCACUGUGCAAACACGAAAGUGGACGUAUACGGUGUGACGCCUGCCCGGUGCCGGAAGGUUAAUUGAUGGGGUCAGCGCAAGCGAAGCUCUUGAUCGAAGCCCCGGUAAACGGCGGCCGUAACUAUAACGGUCCUAAGGUAGCGAAAUUCCUUGUCGGGUAAGUUCCGACCUGCACGAAUGGCGUAAUGAUGGCCAGGCUGUCUCCACCCGAGACUCAGUGAAAUUGAACUCGCUGUGAAGAUGCAGUGUACCCGCGGCAAGACGGAAAGACCCCGUGAACCUUUACUAUAGCUUGACACUGAACAUUGAGCCUUGAUGUGUAGGAUAGGUGGGAGGCUUAGAAGUGUGGACGCCAGUCUGCAUGGAGCCGACCUUGAAAUACCACCCUUUAAUGUUUGAUGUUCUAACGUUGACCCGUAAUCCGGGUUGCGGACAGUGUCUGGUGGGUAGUUUGACUGGGGCGGUCUCCUCCUAAAGAGUAACGGAGGAGCACGAAGGUUGGCUAAUCCUGGUCGGACAUCAGGAGGUUAGUGCAAUGGCAUAAGCCAGCUUGACUGCGAGCGUGACGGCGCGAGCAGGUGCGAAAGCAGGUCAUAGUGAUCCGGUGGUUCUGAAUGGAAGGGCCAUCGCUCAACGGAUAAAAGGUACUCCGGGGAUAACAGGCUGAUACCGCCCAAGAGUUCAUAUCGACGGCGGUGUUUGGCACCUCGAUGUCGGCUCAUCACAUCCUGGGGCUGAAGUAGGUCCCAAGGGUAUGGCUGUUCGCCAUUUAAAGUGGUACGCGAGCUGGGUUUAGAACGUCGUGAGACAGUUCGGUCCCUAUCUGCCGUGGGCGCUGGAGAACUGAGGGGGGCUGCUCCUAGUACGAGAGGACCGGAGUGGACGCAUCACUGGUGUUCGGGUUGUCAUGCCAAUGGCACUGCCCGGUAGCUAAAUGCGGAAGAGAUAAGUGCUGAAAGCAUCUAAGCACGAAACUUGCCCCGAGAUGAGUUCUCCCUGACCCUUUAAGGGUCCUGAAGGAACGUUGAAGACGACGACGUUGAUAGGCCGGGUGUGUAAGCGCAGCGAUGCGUUGAGCUAACCGGUACUAAUGAACCGUGAGGCUUAACCUUACAACGCCGAAGGUGUUU